AAUUAAUAUUUUCAAGAUGGGUGUUUCAAAUAUGUCAUUUAUUUUUGGAUUAAGAAAAGAACUUUAGUAUUUAGAUUUAAAAAAAAUACUUUUCUAGUCAAAUGGUUUGUUUUAUUUCAAUGAAGAUUUAAUAUAAUACAAAUAACUUCAAAUUUUAGUAUUUUAGACAUAAAUAGGUAAAAAACCUGAUAAGUUAGAAAAUUCUCUCCAGACUCAGCUUUAAUUCAAAAAAUAUAUAUUGUUGUUUAUCUAAAAUCAUUAUUAGAUGGUUGUAUUUUUUAUUGAAUAUUAAUUAGCACAUACCAAUUCAAAAAUAUUUUAUCUCGUAUUAAAAAUAGAAAAUAUAGUUGAAAUU
This 355-nucleotide long non-coding RNA is filed under the name Physcomitrium patens. Its description in RNAcentral is "long non-coding RNA (PPAT_LNC010400)". Lineage: Eukaryota; Viridiplantae; Streptophyta; Bryopsida; Funariales; Funariaceae. The record is from RNAcentral.